RNAcentral lists this transfer RNA (72 nucleotides) under Acropora cervicornis. RNAcentral describes it as "tRNA-Ala". It matches the Rfam family "tRNA". Rfam says of the family: Transfer RNA (tRNA) molecules are approximately 80 nucleotides in length. Their secondary structure includes four short double-helical elements and three loops (D, anti-codon, and T loops). Further hydrogen bonds mediate the characteristic L-shaped molecular structure. tRNAs have two regions of fundamental functional importance: the anti-codon, which is responsible for specific mRNA codon recognition, and the 3' end, to which the tRNAs corresponding amino acid is attached (by aminoacyl-tRNA synthetases). tRNAs cope with the degeneracy of the genetic code in two manners: having more than one tRNA (with a specific anti-codon) for a particular amino acid; and 'wobble' base-pairing, i.e. permitting non-standard base-pairing at the 3rd anti-codon position. Lineage: Eukaryota; Metazoa; Cnidaria; Anthozoa; Scleractinia; Acroporidae. The record is from RNAcentral.
GGCCUAAUGGCUCAACUGUUAGAGCACUGUACCAGCAUUGCAGAGGUCAGGGUUCAUAUCCCAUUCAGGCCU